RNAcentral lists this ribosomal RNA (459 nucleotides) under uncultured bacterium. RNAcentral's name for it is "partial 16S ribosomal RNA". It matches the Rfam family "Bacterial small subunit ribosomal RNA", at positions 339 to 795 of the family's 1533-position model. The record is from RNAcentral.
CUACGGGACGCUGCAGUAAGGAAUAUUGCGCAAUGGAGGCAACUCUGACGCAGCCAUGCCGCGUGCAGGAAGAAGGCCUUAUGGGUCGUAAACUGCUUUUAUUUAGGAAUAAACCCCCGAACGUGUUCGGGGCUGAAGGUACUAAACGAAUAAGCACCGGCUAACUCCGUGCCAGCAGCCGCGGUAAUACGGAGGGUGCAAGCGUUAUCCGGAUUUAUUGGGUUUAAAGGGUGCGCAGGCGGGCUAUUAAGUCAGUGGUGAAAUCCCGGGGCUCAACUCCGGAACUGCCAUUGAUACUGGUAGUCUUGAGUUUGGUUGAAGUGGGCGGAAUGUAGCAUGUAGCGGUGAAAUGCAUAGAUAUGCUACAGAACACCAAUCGCGAAGGCAGCUCACUAAGCCAAAACUGACGCUCAUGCACGAAAGCGUGGGGAUCAAACAGGAUUAGAUACCCCAGUAGUC